This 377-nucleotide unclassified non-coding RNA is filed under the name uncultured Parachlamydiaceae bacterium. RNAcentral's name for it is "contains 16S-23S intergenic spacer region". Lineage: Bacteria; Pseudomonadati; Chlamydiota; Chlamydiia; Parachlamydiales; Parachlamydiaceae. The record is from RNAcentral.
UCCUGGUUAACCCAGGCAGUCUCACUAGAGUGCCCAACCGAAUUGCUGGCAACUAAUGAUAAGGGUUGCGCUCGUUGCUGGACUUAACCAAACACCUCACGGCACGAGCUGACGACAGCCAUGCAGCACCUGUGCAGCGGCUCCGAAGAGAAAUACUAUUUCUAGUAUCGUCCACUGCAUGUCAAGUCUGGGUAAGGUUCUUCGCGUUGCAUCGAAUUAAACCACAUGCUCCACUGCUUGUGCGGGUCCCCGUCAAUUCUUUUGAGUUUCAGCCUUGCGACUGUACUCCCCAGGCGGUAUACUUAACGCGUUCGCUACGGCACAAUCGGGGUUGAUUCCGAUUACACCAAGUAUACAUCGUUUACGGCAAGGACUAC